Molecule: ribosomal RNA, 277 nt
Filed under: uncultured bacterium
Lineage: Bacteria
Description: partial 16S ribosomal RNA
Rfam family: Bacterial small subunit ribosomal RNA
Source: RNAcentral
UUGCUUUCUUUGCUGGCGACCGGCGCACGGUGAGUAACACGUAUCCAACCUGCCCUUUACUCGGGGAUAGCCUUUCGAAAGAAAGAUUAAUACCCGAUAGUAUAAUGAUUCCGCAUGGUUUCAUUAUUAAAGGAUUCCGGUAAAGGAUGGGGAUGCGUUCCAUUAGGUUGUUGGUGAGGUAACGGCUCACCAAGCCUUCGAUGGAUAGGGGUUCUGAGAGGAAGGUCCCCCACAUUGGAACUGAGACACGGUCCAAACUCCUACGGGAGGCAGCAUG